AAACAUAAUUUAUUUGAUCUGAAACCAUCAUACCAGUUCAACCAAUCUUCACACUUCUACUAUGCCAACCAUGAACAGGUGUAAUGCAAUAGCAAACAUGGAAUAAAUGGGAGGUACAACCAUGCAACUCAAGCACGCCUGGUUGACUGACACCAAAGGAAAAUAACCAUGCAUCCAGAUCGAUGACUCAAUACUCAGCUUCCUCGUCCUCAUCUUCAACUUCAGCUCCGACUUCCUCAUAAUCCUUCUCCAGUGCUGCAAGAUCCUCCCUUGCCUCUGAGAACUCCCCUUCUUCCAUCCCUUCACCGACAUACCAAUGAACGAAUGCACGUUUGGCAUACAUGAGAUCAAACUUGCGGUCAAUACGAGAGAAGACCUCAGCCACGGCUGUGUUGUUGCUGAUCAUGCAGACUGCUCGUUGCACCUUGGCCAGGUCCCCUCCAGGGACUACAGUUGGUGGUUGGUAGUUUAUCCCACACUUGAAACCAGUAGGGCACCUGUGCAUGAGACAGCAGAGAAAGACAUUCAUGUCUCGCGCAGCUAUCUUUUCAGUGGAAGAUUACAAUCUAUAAUCUGAUAUAACUUGGUAAGAGUUGUGAGCAUAUACCAAUCAACAAACUGCACUGCUCUCUUGGUCUUGAUUGAAUGGACAGCAGCAUUCACAUCUUUUGGAACAACGUCGCCACGGUACAUCAAACAGCAUGCCAUGUACUUUCCAUGCCUGGGAUCACAUUUUGCCAUCACACUUGAUGGCUCAAACACAGAAUUUGUGAUCUCAGGAACAGAGUGUUGUUCAUGGUAGGCCUUUUCCACUGAGAUAAUUGGAGCAUACGAAGAGAGCAUAAAGUGUAUGCGGGGAUAAGGCACAAGGUUGGUCUGGAACUCAGUUAUGUCAACAUUAAUAGCUCCUUCAAACCUCAGAGAGGUAGUCAGAGAUGAUAUAACUUGUGAUAUAAGCCUGUUCAGAUUGGUGUAUGUUGGACGCUCAAUGUCGAGGGACCUCUUGCAUAUGUCAUAGAUAGCUUCAUUGUCAAGAAGCACAACAACAUCUGUGUGUUCAAUCAAGGAAUGUGUGGAGAGCACGCUGUUAUAAGGCUCGACCACAGCAGUCGAGAUCUGCAAUGAAAAUGGUUUCAGUACAGAGUUCUUGUACAUUACAAUGACAGGUAAACCUCCUUUGCAAGCUUUUGUUUUCCGAUUGAGAAGGCAAGUAUAUGCCUUCAUUUAGGUAUACAUAAAUAGUACUGUUGCAAAUUAACACUUUUUACUCACUUUUGUCUCAAGCAUACAGAUUUAGAUAAUUGUACAAUUAACCAUUAUGUAGCCACUCCGCAAUAACAAGAAUUGAUAUGAAUAUUCUUCACUCACACAUUUUCACGGUCUAGACUAAAUGUUAGCCUAAACGUCUAACUGGCUAAACAAUCACCUAUUGUUUAGCUAUUUAUUCAGGCUAAACGAUCAUUUAAAUGGAUUAAAUGUGGUCAAAAGGGAUAAAUGGACACAUCAAGCUGCCAUGCAGCAUUUACACGGCGUGUAAACGGGCUACACGGCCGUAUAGGUGAAGUAGACAUACAUGGGCUUGCAGCAUUGCGUGAUAUCCAAGGUUGAAUUUCAUGAAGAUCCUUCAAGAUUUAUUUUUACUACAAUCAAUGAUAGGUGAAUGUAGGCUAGGGAAAAAUAUACUCCACUUGGAUACAUAGGUUUUUCUAUGCACUUAGGUAUACAUUAUGUCUAGAUAGUAGAUACAUAGUAAAAUUAAUGUAUCUAGAAAAGUCAAAAUGUCUUAUAGUUUGAAAUGGAGGGAGUAUUUCUGUAUGCAAGCUAUGUCUUAUUGCAAGAACAAAUAAAGAGUUCUGCUCACUGACACAAGCGGCUCAACUCUAAUAUCCGUAAAAUUUAUAUUUUUAUCGUGGCUCCUCCAGAAACAUGACAAAAACAGCAUACUAGUUGGAAAGAGAAGGUAAAAGUCCAAAAUAAUUAGACUAGCUUUUCAAGAAAUUGAGUUAUGAUAAAACAACAUACUAGCUGAAAGUAGGACAUAUUUAGACUUUUCUUGUAAAGUUACUAUCAGAUAUUCGAUUAAUCAUUUUAUUGAAAUUGAGAUUUUUGUUGUAUAUCAAAAAUUCAAAACUGAUGGCGAGACAGACUUUUUUUGUUACUAUUACUAGUACUACUUUAUAUUGGUAGUCUUGCGAAAUCACGAUACAGAUCUACCAUUGAAGUGAUUUCUUUUUAAUGUUUCACACUGAAUACUAUAUUUUUCUGGCAAAAACCGAAUCAAACUUCCCAUGCAAUCUAGAUGCAAUCUGUCAUGGGCAUAAUAGGGAGUGAGAGGCAACAGCCAGGCUAGGAUAAGGCUAGAGAAUAAGAUUGAGAUGAGCUAGGAUAAGGCUAGAGAAUAAGAUUGAGAUGAGAGAAUUGUGGAGAGUUAGUUAGCAGCAGAUAAGUCCAAGAAAGUAGGAGUUAGUUGAGAGUUUGUAGGAGAAGUUGGUUAGUCAUAGGGCUAUUUAUAAGCCGCAUAGCAGCAAGGAAUAAAUCAAGCAAGAUCAUUACCAAAUCAAUCUCUCUCUCUUGCAAUCUCCCUCUCAAGCGCCUAGGGCUGCUACCCUAGAACCAAGCCUACGGCAGAGGGGUAUAACCUCGCCGGAGAAGACAGCUAUCCCCAUGGACCGAAGGUCCAUGACACCUGGUAUCAGCUCCAGGUUAUCCUCACCACCACCAGCCGCCCAUCCCUCACCACCACCAGCCGCCGCGCCAUUUGCCGCCGCAACGCCCUCCCACCCGCCCUCUCCAACUCUAGAUGCAUUCACUCGGCUCGAAGAGAAGUGGGAUCAAUUCGUUGUGAUGUUCCAUCGCUACAAGGAGAAGACAGAGAAGGAACUCCAAGCAGCGGUGCGGCUUCAGGCGGCAGCGCGAGGGUUCCUGGCACGCCGCCAGGUACAGUCCCUUCGUGGGGAGAAGCACCUUGCUGUGGCCUCCAGGGCCACCCCAUGGCCGUCAUCACAUGAGCAGGCCGUGGUGCGCCUGCAAGCCGCAGUGCGCGGCUUCCUUGUUAGGCGGGCGGUGCGGAAGCUGCACUUGCUGAUCAGCUCAUCGCUGCACCAACUCGCAGCCUGCGCGCCCAACCACCAGGUCUCGUCUAUACUUUUUGAACCCCCUACAGAAGUCGAGAUCUGGGUAUGCAAUCCCCCUGCACGGCCAAAGAGGGUCGUCUCCCUCAUUCGGGCAACUGCCUUGGUGCUGGACAGACCCAAGGGCUGGUUCCUCCUUCACCUUUCAUCCAACGUGAAGUCCGCAGUUCAGCUCUUUCCUUGGGAUCCAGGAGGACAUAGCUGCAGUUCAAAUUUAUAUUUUAAUUCCACAAUUAUUUUGUAUUUCCGUCUUAAAUAAUAAAGGUAAGCCGAGAUGUAAAAGGCUUAACCUUAAGUCAUGUCAGGUAAGUCUAUGGCAGCUCGAGGACGAGCUGGUCCUCAAGGGAGGGGGAGAUGUCAUGGGCAUAAUAGGGAGUGAGAGGCAACAGCCAGGCUAGGAUAAGGCUAGAGAAUAAGAUUGAGAUGAGCUAGGAUAAGGCUAGAGAAUAAGAUUGAGAUGAGAGAAUUGUGGAGAGUUAGUUAGCAGCAGAUAAGUCCAAGAAAGUAGGAGUUAGUUGAGAGUUUGUAGGAGAAGUUGGUUAGUCAUAGGGCUAUUUAUAAGCCGCAUAGCAGCAAGGAAUAAAUCAAGCAAGAUCAUUAUCAAACCAAUCUCUCUCUCUUGCAAUGACCCUCUCAAGCGCUUAGGGCUGCUACCCUAGAACCAAGCCUACGGCAGAGGGGUAUAACCUCGCCGGAGAAGACAGCUAUCCCCAUGGACCGAAGGUCCAUGACACAAUCAAACUAACAAAAGUCAUAAAAAUUCUUAAAAAUUUUAUAGAUGUAUUUUACUCUAAUAAUGUAUCACAUUUUAAGUUCUUAAGUCAUCCUAUGUUAAGAAAUAUACAUAGAAAAAUAAAAUUCUAUCAUUUUUUAAUACUUCAUAUUGGAUAUAGUUUUCUCCUUUUUAUAUCUCUUAAAGUAGGAUGAAUCAUAACUUAAAACUUGAUAUGUUGGUAGAGUAAACAAUGAAGUAUAUCUGUAAUUUUUUUUUUGAAAAAAAAUCGUGACUUUUGGUAAUUUGGUUGUAUGGAGAUUGCACAACAGUUUUUCUCUUCCUUUGUCGAGACGGUAAUUAAGUCUGUAAUUACUUGCCCAGAAAGAAACAUGAGCUUCAGCUACUUGCGGCUGCUGCUGCUGCUUCAAAACUGCAUACUACUAUAGCACGGUACUAGUGCGGUGCUAGUGCAGCUAUAGCCGCCCGAGCGGGCUUGAUGACUGCAUAAGUAAUUACGAUGACCAAAUGAUGCAUACAUGAAUGUUCCCAAAUUAUCAUCUUGAUACCUGUGGGGAAGGAUAGAUGGUGAAACCGAGCUUUGACUUCCUACCAUAAUCUACUGAUAGACGUUCUAAAAGUAGCGAACCCAGGCCGGAGCCUGUUCCACCACCAACAGCAUUGAAAACCAGAAAACCUUGAAGACCAGUGCAGUUGUCUGCCAAUUUUCGUAUCCGAUCAAGGCAAAGAUCUAUUACUUCUCUUCCAACUGCAGCAGAAAAAACAUGUUGUAGAACUUCUGACAUUACUCAGUUUCCAAACAGGAUAGGUAUUAAUAAAGAGCAGAGAACAGUUCCAAAGCAUUGUAAUGUUUUUAAAACAAUUGCCCCAGGUAAGGAAAGUGAGGUUGCUUGUAUGAUAUGAAGUCAUGAAAAAUACUAUAAUAAUCAUGGCAUAGGAUGGUUGAAUAUGUAAAUUAUAAGAUCCUGACCCAGCCCCUUCAUAAUAUCCAAAUUGUUGUGGACUAGUUCUGGCUACCACUUGCUAGUACUGUUCAAGAACACAAAUUUGGUCUUUACGCAUUUUGGCAAUGCACCGAAAUUCAAGGUAGGGCUUCCAAACCCCAAUAGUUUUUGUACUUGAACCAAUAUUGCAUUUAAAAUUGCAAAAACAUUUUUUGUUCUCCGGGAAAUAGCUCAGGGUGAGGGGAACAUGUCACACCUGUGUAAUGUCCACGGGCGAAGUUGUUCGCUGCAUCUUCCUUGUGUGAGAUGAGCUGCUCAGGAUGGAAAAGCUGGCGGUAAGCCCCAGUCUUCACCUCGUCAAUCACAGUGGGCUCCAAGUCGACAAACAGGGCCCUUGGAACGUGCUUCCCUGCGCCCGUUUCACUGAAGAACGUGUUGAACGCAUCCCUCGCGAUCCCGACAGAGGUGUCACUGCAAGCGAACGGCCAAGGCUGAGAAUUUGGAUGCUGUGAAAUCGGGGUGUCAUCGACUCUUAAGAGAAGAUUUUUAGAGGUCAGAGCAUCCAGCGAAGUUUCUCUAGCUUUUAGAGUGCUGUCUGUGAUCAACAAGUAAAGAUCUUCCUCAGGAUUAUCUCAAAAACCCAACCUUUUGAGGCGACUGCUACAAGAACCCAGAUGGCAGCCCUAUCUUAAAUAAUUAUCUGAGCUGGAACUGGAAUAAUCAUCUCAGAGAGAAGUACAGAACAAAAUCUGACAUAAUUCUCAAGGAAAGGAUGAGUUGGAAUGGAAAGGGGCCUCACCUGGGCAUGAGGCCGUCAGGCUGGAUACCGUGCUCGAGGCAGUAGAGCUCCCAGCAAGAAUUCCCUACCUGGAUGCCUGCCUGCCCGAUAUGGAUGCUGAUGAUCUCCCUCAUCUCCCUCACGCCCCCUUGCUCUGCCUCUGAAUCAGGUUAUGCAGCCUCGGGAGAUCAGAAGCAAUUAUCCCUGCACUUGCACAGGGAUGAAGCCUGAGGACCGAAAAGACCUGCACCACUGCAAACGGAAAA
Molecule: long non-coding RNA, 5852 nt
Organism: Zea mays
Lineage: Eukaryota; Viridiplantae; Streptophyta; Magnoliopsida; Poales; Poaceae
Exons: 2
Source: RefSeq, a predicted model, not a curated record